This is a non-coding RNA of Peromyscus maniculatus bairdii (prairie deer mouse), 1327 nucleotides long. The record is from RefSeq and is a predicted model, not a curated record. Lineage: Eukaryota; Metazoa; Chordata; Mammalia; Rodentia; Cricetidae.
CACCUUCCAGGAUGAAGGAAUCCUACUGCCUCAAAAGAACUUCCUGGUCAACUAGUGCCUGCAGCUCUGGUUCAGAAUGAGGGAGUCUGGGAAAUCUCUGAGUAAAGAACGGAAACGAGUGAAGACAGAGAUGCCCAUGAUGAAAGGACUGGACAGAACAAGAGUCAUCUAGUCAUGUAUCAAUCCUUGGGCAGAGCACAGGAAUAGACAACAUGCUUGUUCCAUCAGUGUGAUCUUAUGGAAUUAUGUGUGUGGUCUAUCCUUGACCAUUGUUACCUGGCAGUGACUGCCCUUCAUAUUAUCAAAUAUGAACAAAUCAAAUUCUGUCCAUCCAGUAAUGGACUUGGGUAUCUGAUGUGUCGAUUAUGAAGACUGUUAAAGACAACAUAACUGGUGACAGUUUUCAGCAUGGUAUCGAAUGGCACUGGUUCCAGAAGCGAUGAACAAUUAUUGCUAGAGGAGGAGACUGACCAGCUGGGCUGCCCGAGGAAGUGGAGCUACCAAGAGGAGACUUGAGAUUCCUGCAAACAGUGCAGAGAGCUCCAGGGUUGCAGCUUUCAUGAGUCCUCAUGCAUGCAGGGGUGCACCUCUGAUGAUGCAGCUGUCUUUGAGUUAUCCUGGGGUUUUUUGUUUGUUUGUUUGUUUGUUUGUUUUCCGAGACAGGAUUUCUCUGUGUAGUUUUGGUGCCUGUCCUGGAUCUUGCUCUGUAGACCAGGCUGGCCCUAAACUCACAAAGAUCCACUUGGUUCUGCUUCCCGAGUGCUGGGAUCAAAGGCCUGUGCCACCACUGCCUGGCUAUCCUGCCUUUUGUAAGUAACUUCUCAUCCAUAUUCCUGUAAGGAACCUCAAUAAAUGCAUUGGUUCACCAAAUUGGACUUUGGUGUUGGUGUAAUGUUUAUUUUGAUCUGUGGCUUCCUGUAUUCCCUUUAUGGAGGGUAUCCUGUCUCUCCAGGAAAAGUCUCUCACAACAAUGGUGAGAAGCAGUCAGAGUCUGGAUGUAUUUUGAGAUUAUAUAUGAGGGAAUAGAUGUAAUAUAUGUGCAAAGAGAUUGUCAUCCAGACUGACACCAAGAUUCUAACCUGAGAGCUGGAAUGAGGGAAUACCUGUCACUGAGAUGUGGAAUGUGAAUAGAGUAAGCUUAGAAUUAGAGGAAUGUCAACAAUCCAAAAAUUACUGUGUCAUUUUGGGGUAGACAUUGCUCAUUAUUGAUCAAUUAUUCAUCACCUCCUUCCCCCCAGACAGAUCUUGAUCUACUUAGUGAAGUGUGAUCCUAAUUAGUCUUAUCAAUAAAAACCAGGAGUCAGAUAUCAGAAUAAAAGCUGAAAGA